Molecule: long non-coding RNA, 9024 nt
Organism: Carassius gibelio (silver crucian carp)
Lineage: Eukaryota; Metazoa; Chordata; Actinopteri; Cypriniformes; Cyprinidae
Exons: 2
Source: RefSeq, a predicted model, not a curated record
AUGAAUGGGUAGCCUAUUGUGUUACCAGCUUAGCAAUUGGUUGCCUGAUUUGACAAUUCCUCAAGCAUUGUCCACAUUAUUAUGUUACUGUUGGAAAAGCAUAUUUUCCUCUCAUUUUGCCUCCGGGCUCUUAGGCGGUCUCCCGGGCGGAUACGUUUGGAAGGCUGUUUUCACGUUGUUGUAUGGACUGUGGAAAAAAGGGUUUUGGAAACGAUGAAGCAUGUUUAGUCUUGCAAGACAUUGUACCCGAGGACAUGAUUAUAGCAGUAACGUACCAGUCACCCCCCAUUUUGCAUGGAGACAGAAAUUACAUACCCAAAAUAAAAAUGUUUCUGCUCAUGAUUCUUUCUGACUAGAUACAUUAUCGACGUUUGUCCAUGAGCUGACACUUCAACGUUUUACCGUUCAGGAAUAGGAAUCGUAUUCCUGAUAGAAUUUACUAAAUAACUGUCACUGAAAAUAUGUUUUAUCGAAAUAUUGGUCAAAUAUCGAAGCCAGAGUCUUUAGACUUUCAAUUGAUGCACGGUUUAUCAAUAUCAAGUCAGAGUGAAGUUUAACGUGCUGUGGAAGUGAAACAAUAAUAAACUGGGGCCGUCGGCGAUGCUUGCAAGCGAAUGGGUUAAUAGCAGUUAUGUGCUAUUCGCUUCUAAGUGGUUUCUAAAGAUAUUUACUUGCCUGUUUUUCAUAUUACGGUCCUGAAAAGGCAACAUUAAUUUUACUCCCACUUGCUGUCCUGUGUCAAAACACGAGGGCAGAUGCGUUUUACAUGAAUUUUGAGUGAUCACUAAAUAAGUCCCUAAAUAAUUUGGUCCUGCCAGAAAAAUUGCAUGGAGAUUUUUUUUUUUUUUUUUUUUUUUUUUUUUUUUUUAACUUAUCAUGGAACAUUAUUGUAUCAUUUCAGUGAGGUUUAAACGUGCUCGGUAAGGCAAAUGUAAUGUCUUGGACAUUUCAGUGUGGAUGGAAAUAAUGCCUUUGUUCGUGGUUAAAUGUGGCAUUAUUAUCUGACGGAUCUACGUUUGUAUCUGUAGUCCAAAUCUAUGCGCACUCCACACUCCAGAUCAGCAGGUGGCGGUAAUGCAUCUUUACGCUGGUUUGCCAAAACCACCACAAAACACUAGUAGAAGAUGGAACUGCGUCAUGACGUCAUUUAACAAACUUUAGCCGCGAACCUACUUUUAGAUGCAACAUUUUGGAUGCCAACUGCCGUAAAAUCCAAUGAACCAGCUUUUAGAGUUUUCGCCUGAAAAUGUGUUGGUUAACAUCGCGCGGUCAAACUGCAACUCGGCCGGAACGCCGGUGUGAAAGGCUGAGUCGCGACGGGAAGUGAGAGCCUUGUUGCCGUGAGAACUUGGGUGCGGCCCAGGCUGGUUGGAUUCCAGCUCGAAGAGAGCUCGGUCUCGGGCGGCAUGAUCAUUGUGUCGAGCGAGCGAGCUCGGAGCUUGCACGGUCUAUUGGCCACGACUUGUGGCUUGACGAGGAGAGCAGCUGUCGCGAUGACGCUUAAUGCUGCUCAAUGGUCGUGUUUGACUGGGUAGGAAAGAUCGCGGGUCCGGCAAAAGCAGCAGGUCUUAUAAAUCCCCGGUGAAGCUCUCUUCGUUGGUACGAAAAAUGGGUCCGUGGUAAGGUGACAGACGAAGCGAACCGGCAUGCUGAUAAACCGUCAAUAGAGACAGGCCAUCAUCUCAUCAUCCGUAUGGGCUGGACUCUCAUGAGAUGGGCAUUUCGCCCCCUGGUGGCGGGAGUCUUUAACAGCAUGUGUUGGGUUCUCAGAGGGAAGGUGGUGUUGGGUUUCUAAAUAAAGCGUGAAGCGAGUCUCAACAGCAGCGCAUGCGCGGCGGAGGCAGCUCUGGUGGGAUUUCGGGUUCGGGCUGAAGGGACAGGACGCUGUUGGACAGCUCUUUACUGGGGACUUCAAGAGGCAUCUGUGGAAGCACAACAUUUAGUCAGUUUGUAAGAUGUUAGAUACUCUUAUAUGACUGUCUGAUGUGCAUUGCACACUAAAAUGGUAAGUACUUGCUCAAAAGAGAUGGGAAUCAGGGCUGAACGAUAAAUCAAAAUAAAACCGAAUGCGUGCGCUUGAGUUGCAUUCGAGAUUGAAAAAUGUGCCAACCAUCUUCCCAAACUUGUAAUAACAAGUGCAUCUGUUGUCAUUUUUCCAUCAAAAUUAAAGCUUAACAUUUGAAAAUUAAGAUUCAAAUUUUACAGUUGUACUAAUGGUUCUUUAUUUGUCACGUACAGAAUUUCAUACAUGUCAUGUAGUGAUUUUUGUUAAAUACUUGACUUAAUUUCAAAGUAAAAUAUUACAGUAUUUCUUAUUUUGUUUAAUAUUGUUUAGUUAUUAUUAUUUUAUUCUUAUUAUUUGUAAUUCUUAUUGUUAUAUAAUCAAAAAAAUGCACUUAAAAAAAUAAAAUAAAAAUGCAUUUAUUUUAGAAUUGCAACGAGGCCAGAAACACUUGUGAUAGUUAAUGCCUCAUUCUCAGGCACUGAGAAUUUUUCAAAGAGAACAUUUUGAUGAACAAAGAUUUUGAUAAAAUGGUAACAAAACAUCUCCACUUACCUUACUCAAAAUGUCAUCAACUAGUUUAAGGAAUAUCUCAUCCACAUUAAAGUUAUCCUUGGCACUGGCCUCACAGAAACGCAUCCCUGAUAUCCGUGAAGCAAACUGACAGAAAUGAAGACAUUUAUUUCAGUCUGAUGGUGCUUCUGAAUGGGAUUAAUAUACAAAUAAUUCAAUAUUUGUUUUUUUUUAAUGCAAUCAGCUGACUGAGGCUCUUUCUUCUUCAUAAUAGUAACAGACCAAAAUAUUGUAUGGCUUCAGAAGAUGUAUAGGCUUUGGACGGACUGAAAGAUGCCCUCCACUGAGCUAAAUGUCAAGGUAAACCUGAGGCAAAAAUAAAGUUCUAAUAGCAAAUCAUAAAAAAGCAUUAUAACAUCACUCAUAUUUGCUGAAUGAAACAAUGCCUGUUUCUAACUAAUUUUGAGGCGCUGAAUCCUAAAAUAUUGUUUUGGCUGUAAAAUUAUUUGCCAUUGAAUGUUUUUGAACAUAUUUUUCCACCCCUUAGCAAAUUGUAAGUUAAAUAAUACAUUUUGAAUACCUCUUUUUGUCAUUAAAACCAUUCAAAUAAAAGCUUCUGACAUUUGCCUUCUUUAGUUAUUUUGAUAAGUGCUUUAUUUACUGUAUAUAGUUUGAAAAUAUUAGAAAUGUUGCCUUUGCAAUUAACUGAAAUAAAUAAAUUCUAAAACCUAAAAUUAAAAUAGAAAACUAAACAGAAAGAUUUAAAAGUAUAAUAAUAAUCAAAAAGAACAAAACACAUAACAAAAUUACUAAAAUGUAAAUAAAAAAAUGAAUAAAUUAAUAACAUUGCAAUAAAAACUGAAAUAAUAAUUCAACAUUAAUAAAUGCUAUUGAAAUAAUACUAAAAUAACACCCUCCCAGCUUCUUGAUGUGAAAUAGCUGUACAAGAUGAAAAGUUUUUUGUAUUAUUUUUUUUUUAACUCAGCAUCUACAAAUUAAGUUUUAUUACAAAAAAAUAAUUAAAUAAAUAAAUAACCUUUGUUACUUUCAGAAAACAGAAAUUAGCCAACUAAAACUAUUAAAAGUUACUUUCAGCAAACGAAAUAAAAGUACCAAAAAUGCUAAAACAAACAAAGUUAAACUGAAAUAAAAAUAUACAUAACUAUUAUUUAUUAAUAUGGUACAUAAACAAUACUGAAAUAACACUGCUCUCACCCUCUCUGCUUGUUGUCGUGAGAUGGCACGAUCAGACUCACAGUCCAGUUUGUUCCCAACCAAUAGGAGCUCAGCAUCCUCUGAUGCAUACUACACAGAAGCAAAACAACACUUUAGUAAACAAAUGGUAUCCCUUUAGGGCAGGCAUUCUUCAGGUUUUGGUAGCCUUAAAUAAAUUUAACUAGACCGAAUAAAAAGGAAAUCAGCUGAACUUCACACUGUGGAAAAUUAGGAUGAUCAAAAACAUAUAUAUAAAAAAAAAAAACUAGUGAUUGUAUUUUUUCUUCAAAUAACAAGUAGAGAUGCAACUGAUCACCUUGGAUCAUAUUACAGAUUUUGAGUCACAGAUUGGAUAAUUUUCAGAUGAGCAAAGAAAUGGUUCUUUAUUAUUUAAAGAACCCUUUACUUUCUUUAUACCACAAUACAUAUAGAUCUUUGUCAAAGCUGACAGACAGCAGCAGGUGUGUAUAGGCUGCUGCCUCUUUAAGGAUAUGAUGCAGUGUUUGAGUGUGUGCACUUGAGUUCUCUUUUGCCUCUUCUUGUGCUUGAAUGGUUCAAAACACUUGAAUGUUUAAAAUGAAUCAGUGUUUUAGAUGUUUGAGUACCUUGUCUAUCAUCUUCAUCCAUUUAGGCAGGUCUUCAAAGGUUUCCUGCUUGGUGAUGUCGUAGACCAGUACGAUGCCUUUCGCGCCACGGUAAUACGCUGAAGUGAUGCUGUUAAACCUCUCUUGUCCUGCUGUGUCCCUGCAAUCAGCCAACAUUAUCAGACUUGCAUGACAUCCAGAGUGAGGAAGAAAUCAUACGUUCGACUAUUAGGAGAAAUCGUGUCUUUACAAUCACAGACGGCUGGAAGGGAGGGAUGGAAAAAGUAAGGAGGGGGGCUGUGACCUCAGCUGUAAAACAAUGUCAGUUUAUUUUCAAUUUAAUAAAAGAUUACAAAGACAAACAUAACAUGCACCAAUGAAUCACUCAUAACAUUCAUAACAAGAACAGGAAGGUGCAUUAGGACUUGCUCAGAUCAUUUGCUUUGCCAGUAAUUUCAUAAAACAUUAAUGUCUUUCAUGAACAGAUCUUGAUUAAAAGGAAAAAGACAAUUCUGAUUAAUUUUUAUUAACAUUAUGGGACACCGCAAAAGUCAAUUUCCAUGUUAUUACUGUACCUUAUUCACCCUAGUCUGGCUGCAUGUUUCCAAAACAGGAUAUGAUGUCACAAAGAAGACCGGUGAGGCGUCACAUGUCAAUGAGCAGUUAAGACAGACACUCAUGGAUGCUGGGUAGCUGGAUGUGAGUGGAGAUGUUUUACAGAUGGGACGUUCGAAAGCAGACAUCUGCAGAAGUGUGGUGUGAGAGAAGCCGGCGAGUUUUAGGGUCAAAAGAAAUAAUGAUGAUAAAGUGGAGGAGAUGGGAGGUUAGUAUUAGUUUGGACCGGUUACAAAAUGACUGAACCAGACUCUCAAUAACAGAAAGAUUAGUUUACAGACUAAAAAGAAAAGAACUAGAGAUGUUCACAAUAAUAGGCUAUAAUAGACUAUUCUAAUUCAAUGAAUACAUUUUGUGAUUUGGCUUGCCUGUAAAAAUGAAGAGUAAAUAAUCGAAAUGAGAAAGAGUAGCAUCUAUAUUUUCUAUAGGCAUCACAUUAUUAGUGAAUGGUAUGAAUGAUAAAUUAAACCAAUUAAACUUAUACUAAACAGCCUAACUGAUGAAGUAAAAUGUGGAAAGAUUUCUUACAUUCAUGUUUUUUAAUUAUUAGGAGUCUUCCACAUAUCAUUUGUUGUAUUAAUUUUUAGUCACAAUUAAAAAUAUAGAAAAGAACAUAGAAAAGAAUAAAUGAAACUCUAUCUGAAUAGAACUCUGUAGAAUAGAACCAAACAGAAUAGAAUACAACAGACCCAAAGUAAAUAAAUAAAAAACAGAAACAGAAUCUAAUAGAAUGUAACAGAGCCAAAUCAAAUAAAGCAGAAUUGAAAAAAGAAACAAUGGAAACUUUUUUCCAAAAAAAAAAAAAUGCAAUUGCAACUUCUCUCUCAAUUCUGAGGAAAAAAAUAAAAAUAAUAAUUUGAGAUGUUAACUCUGAAAAUUCAAUUCUGUGAAGAAAAGUCUGAAAUGUGGUAAAAAAUGUCAAUACUUUUUUUUUUAUUCCAUGGAGGAAACAGGCAAAAACAGAACUGCGAGAUGCAAACUCAAAAUUCAGAAAAAAAAGUCAGAAUUGCAAAACAGUUUUUAUAUACAUUUUUUUAGUUUUUCAUCCCGUGUCAGAAAAACACUUCCAUAAGAAACAGAUCAGAAUAGAAUAAGCCUUUCAGGUUGGAAAUCCUUAAUAAUAUGUCUGUUGUUCCCCCUUCCCUGUUUGUUUGUAUGGAUGUUAUUUUGUUAAUCUAAAGACAAUAAAGAGUUGAUCACAACAAAAAAAGAAAGAAUAGAAUACACCAUAAACCCAGACCACAACAGAAUCGUAGAAAAUAAUAGAAUAGGAUAGAUUAAAACUGAAUAGAAUUGAAUAAACAAAUGUCAGUCGGCGAGAUUGGCAGGAGUAGGUGAAAAAGGACAUACACAUCAGUUAGUGUUAUGAAAUUAGUGAUAUCACACUUAAAAUGCACAUGUUUAAAUUCAUUGUUGAAUUCUGGGAUGCUGCAAGCAUUCGAUCACAAAUUAAAAGUCGCAAUAUUAGUGAUGAGUGUACUGUAAUGCUUUAAUAAUUCUUUAUGAUGUUAAAAUGCCACAGAGUAAGUUAAAAGUUGGUUAACUGCAAGCAAACACAGCUGAUUAAAUCUCAGCAGCAACACAUGAAAGAGGUUUGAGUCUAACAGACUCUGGACUGGAAUUUAUGACUAGGUGCAGAGCGACUUCAUCUCAUGUGCUUCUGAGACACAGGAAGUGACAGAGUGGGCUGAGUCAACGAUAAGGACACAGCACUUCCUCUCUACUCACCAGAUCUGUAACCUGAUCUUCUUUCCUCUCAACUCCACCGUUUUGAUUUUGAAAUCCACACCUUCAACACAAACAGACAAGCACGAAGAAACAACAUGUAAGAUCAGUCAUACGGAGUCUUCAAGCUUUACAGUGCCUCUAAAAUUCACUGUUAUCUGACACAUAACUGAAAGCACUAACAUUUAAUAUAACACAUACAAAUAGAUUAGGUUUUGUGCCUAAAUAUUCCCAUGUGUAUGGCAAUAAACACAGCCAAAGUCAAAGCACAGAUCAUGUCACAGCAGCUGUGUGUGUCUGGCUAUUCUGGGAUAUUGGCAUGCAACUAAUCUGAUGUGAAGGCCUGUCACAACUGAGUGAAGUUUUCACAUGUGCACUGGUUCAAACAUUUAUGUGUUGGCUAAAAAUCACUGAUUUUGUACCAAACGGUUUUAUUAUAUUAAUGCAUGUUUUCUAAACGUGGCACUCAUCACAUGAUUGAUGCAGACUGAUUCAGCAUUCGGCAGAUCUCCCAUGAAACGACAUUAUAAAAAAACUGGGCAUGAGAAUGAGGGAUGAAAACCGUUUAGACACAGAUGCAAACUAAACUCACAUUCAUGUGUUAACAUCAAACUCUUACAUCAUUUGAAAUUGUUUGCAUCAAUCUGUGUUACAAAAGUCAGAUUAUUAUUAGGAAAAUGUUCUCGGAUUUACGUGGUCACUGGCACAGAUGUGAUUUUCAGAUUGUGGCUUUCUAACAUCUGGCUGAAAAGUUUCUGUCGACACAGUCAGGACCAAACCUGAUUGACCAGAGCUGCUACUCUGACCUCUGAACUGUUGCUAAGUGGUCAUUGUUAUACUGCUGAAACUCUUAAUGUUAGAAGGCAAACACUUUUAUUUUUUUAUUUUUGACUAUUUGACAUUUUUUAUUAUACAAAAUUAUAAUAUCCAUAAUAAAAUAACUGCAGAGUUCACAAUUAUGUACACAAAAACAAAUAUUAAUAUAUUCAUAUUAUUUUAUUUAUUUAUUAUUAAUUCUUAAUAUUACAUACACACACACACACACACACACAAUAAUAUUGUGAAAUAUUAUUACAAUUUAAAAUGUGCCAUUUAAAGAAUUUAUGUAUGUAUAUAAUAACCAUUUAUAUUUCAUUAAUAGUUUUACUUUCACUAAUAAACAUUGUCCAUUACUUUUUUAACUGAAAAUAACUAUUCAUCAAAGUGCCAAUUACUAACCAUCUAUACUUCACUAAUUAAAUAGUUAACUAUUUAUGCUCACCAAACUGGAAAUAAUUAUUAAUCUUUACUAAACUGAUAUGUACAGUUAUCUAUCUUUAAUAGGCAUCUAUGGUUUAUUAAAUAUCCAUUGUUAACUAUCGGUGCAUUAAAAACUAAAACACUAAUAUCCAUCUAACAGCCAACUGCAAACCAUUAAUAGUUUACAAAUGAAUUGGAGUUAACUAUCUAUGCUUUCCAAACUGGAUAGAAUUAUCCAUCUCUAAUAAAGGAGUAUGUUUUAUUAGUUAUUGUAUCUUUAAUAUUCAUCUAUGGUUUACUAAGUAAACACUGAUACUGUUUGCAAAUUAGUUACAUAUCUAUCCCAUACUAGCUAAGGGUCGUUUAAUUACAAAACUAUCUAUGUAUAGUUGACUUAUCUAUGCUGUAGCGUUCUCAUUAUUCAAACCUUGGAUACAGUUGAACUGACUUGAGAAGAUAAACACAAUGUGGUAUGUUUGUGUUGUUAAGGUAACUAACGUAAACAGAAAGAUAACGGAUACUAGUAACACAAAUAAACGGAUAGUCGUUGUUGUUGACCCUCUUUCACUAACUCUCUCUGUCAGUUUGUCUUACCCACAGUGGAUUUGCACGCCUCGCAGAAUGUAUCAUCCGUGUAUCUCUCCAUAAGGCUGGUUUUUCCCACUCCACGGGAGCCGAUGAUGAUCACCUGGAGUUUAUAAUCAGCCGCUCUCGGCGGCAUCUUCCUGCGGCGCUGCGACGCUCCUACAGCGGGCGAGCCACCACCGGCCCUCCGCUGGACACCGAACCCCGACUCCAUCCACCGCUAACAGCCGGUCCACAUCUGCCACACGGCCAGUCCGCUUCAAACACACCCUCGCAUCACGGAGGGAAACUUUACUGAACUUUAAGGCGGCUUUUCGGGAGAGUUUGUCAAAGUUUUCAAUCUCUUCAGUCAGUCGGUUAUAGUCCUGCGCUGGGAAUAUGAUGAGAGCGGCCGUGACGUCACCAACACUUCCGGUUCCGACGCAUUCCAAAGGAAGAGCGGAGCAAAAUUCCAUUUAGAAUAUACACACUUGCAAGAUUUACGUUAUCCACUACAAAUAUUAGAAUCAGAUGUGGAAAAUAAAAAAUUUUUUGUCGCCUUUUAAA